GGUUAAGCGACUAAGCGUACACGGUGGAUGCCCUGGCAGUCAGAGGCGAUGAAGGACGUGCUAAUCUGCGAAAAGCGCCGGCGAGGUGAUAUGAACCUUUGACCCGGCGAUGUCCGAAUGGGGAAACCCAGUGUGUUCCGACACACUAUCGUUAACUGAAUACAUAGGUUAACGAGGCGAACCGGGGGAACUGAAACAUCUAAGUACCCCGAGGAAAAGAAAUCAACCGAGAUUCCCCCAGUAGCGGCGAGCGAACGGGGAGCAGCCCAGAGUCUGAAUCAGCUUGUGUGUUAGUGGAAGCGUCUGGAAAGUCGCACGGUACAGGGUGACAGUCCCGUACACGAAAGCACACAGGUUGUGAACUCGAAGAGUAGGGCGGGACACGUGGUAUCCUGUCUGAAUAUGGGGGGACCAUCCUCCAAGGCUAAAUACUCCUGACUGACCGAUAGUGAACCAGUACCGUGAGGGAAAGGCGAAAAGAACCCCGGCGAGGGGAGUGAAAAAGAACCUGAAACCGUGUACGUACAAGCAGUGGGAGCCUCUUUUAUGGGGUGACUGCGUACCUUUUGUAUAAUGGGUCAGCGACUUAUAUUCUGUAGCAAGGUUAACCGUAUAGGGGAGCCGAAGGGAAACCGAGUCUUAACUGGGCGUUAAGUUGCAGGGUAUAGACCCGAAACCCGGUGAUCUAGCCAUGGGCAGGUUGAAGGUUGGGUAACACUAACUGGAGGACCGAACCGACUAAUGUUGAAAAAUUAGCGGAUGACUUGUGGCUGGGGGUGAAAGGCCAAUCAAACCGGGAGAUAGCUGGUUCUCCCCGAAAGCUAUUUAGGUAGCGCCUCGUGAAUUCAUCUUCGGGGGUAGAGCACUGUUUCGGCUAGGGGGCCAUCCCGGCUUACCAACCCGAUGCAAACUACGAAUACCGAAGAAUGUUAUCACGGGAGACACACGGCGGGUGCUAACGUCCGUCGUGAAGAGGGAAACAACCCAGACCGCCAGCUAAGGUCCCAAAGUCAUGGUUAAGUGGGAAACGAUGUGGGAAGGCACAGACAGCCAGGAUGUUGGCUUAGAAGCAGCCAUCAUUUAAAGAAAGCGUAAUAGCUCACUGGUCGAGUCGGCCUGCGCGGAAGAUGUAACGGGGCUAAACCAUGCACCGAAGCUGCGGCAGCGACACUAUGUGUUGUUGGGUAGGGGAGCGUUCUGUAAGCCGUUGAAGGUGUCCUGUGAGGGGUGCUGGAGGUAUCAGAAGUGCGAAUGCUGACAUAAGUAACGAUAAAGCGGGUGAAAAGCCCGCUCGCCGGAAGACCAAGGGUUCCUGUCCAACGUUAAUCGGGGCAGGGUGAGUCGACCCCUAAGGCGAGGCCGAAAGGCGUAGUCGAUGGGAAACAGGUUAAUAUUCCUGUACUUGGUGUUACUGCGAAGGGGGACGGAGAAGGCUAUGUUAGCCGGGCGACGGUUGUCCCGGUUUAAGCAUGUAGGCGGAGGUUCCAGGUAAAUCCGGUUCCUUAUUAACGCUGAGGUGUGAUGACGAGGCACUACGGUGCUGAAGUAACAAAUGCCCUGCUUCCAGGAAAAGCCUCUAAGCAUCAGGUAACAUCAAAUCGUACCCCAAACCGACACAGGUGGUCAGGUAGAGAAUACCAAGGCGCUUGAGAGAACUCGGGUGAAGGAACUAGGCAAAAUGGUGCCGUAACUUCGGGAGAAGGCACGCUGAUAUGUAGGUGAAGCCCCUGCGGGUGGAGCUGAAAUCAGUCGAAGAUACCAGCUGGCUGCAACUGUUUAUUAAAAACACAGCACUGUGCAAACACGAAAGUGGACGUAUACGGUGUGACGCCUGCCCGGUGCCGGAAGGUUAAUUGAUGGGGUUAGCGGUAACGCGAAGCUCUUGAUCGAAGCCCCGGUAAACGGCGGCCGUAACUAUAACGGUCCUAAGGUAGCGAAAUUCCUUGUCGGGUAAGUUCCGACCUGCACGAAUGGCGUAAUGAUGGCCAGGCUGUCUCCACCCGAGACUCAGUGAAAUUGAACUCGCUGUGAAGAUGCAGUGUACCCGCGGCAAGACGGAAAGACCCCGUGAACCUUUACUAUAGCUUGACACUGAACACUGGUCCUUGAUGUGUAGGAUAGGUGGGAGGCUUUGAAGCGUGGACGCCAGUCUGCGUGGAGCCAACCUUGAAAUACCACCCUUUAAUGGCUGGUGUUCUAACGUAGACCCGUGAUCCGGGUUGCGGACAGUGUCUGGUGGGUAGUUUGACUGGGGCGGUCUCCUCCCAAAGAGUAACGGAGGAGCACGAAGGUUAGCUAAUCCUGGUCGGACAUCAGGAGGUUAGUGCAAUGGCAUAAGCUAGCUUGACUGCGAGAGUGACGGCUCGAGCAGGUGCGAAAGCAGGUCAUAGUGAUCCGGUGGUUCUGAAUGGAAGGGCCAUCGCUCAACGGAUAAAAGGUACUCCGGGGAUAACAGGCUGAUACCGCCCAAGAGUUCAUAUCGACGGCGGUGUUUGGCACCUCGAUGUCGGCUCAUCACAUCCUGGGGCUGAAGUAGGUCCCAAGGGUAUGGCUGUUCGCCAUUUAAAGUGGUACGCGAGCUGGGUUUAGAACGUCGUGAGACAGUUCGGUCCCUAUCUGCCGUGGGCGCUGGAGAAUUGAGGGGGCUGCUCCUAGUACGAGAGGACCGGAGUGGACGCAUCACUGGUGUUCGGGUUGUCAUGCCAAUGGCACUGCCCGGUAGCUAAAUGCGGAAGAGAUAAGUGCUGAAAGCAUCUAAGCACGAAACUUGCCCCGAGAUGAGUUCUCCCUGAGACUUUAAGUCUCCUGAAGGAACGUUGAAGACUACGACGUUGAUAGGUCGGGUGUGUAAGCGCAGCGAUGCGUUGAGCUAACCGAUACUAAUGAACCGUGAGGCUUAACCUU
RNAcentral lists this ribosomal RNA (2904 nucleotides) under Enterobacter sp. Z1. RNAcentral describes it as "23S ribosomal RNA". It matches the Rfam family "Bacterial large subunit ribosomal RNA". The record is from RNAcentral. Lineage: Bacteria; Pseudomonadati; Pseudomonadota; Gammaproteobacteria; Enterobacterales; Enterobacteriaceae.